Molecule: long non-coding RNA, 4513 nt
Filed under: Panax ginseng (ginseng)
Lineage: Eukaryota; Viridiplantae; Streptophyta; Magnoliopsida; Apiales; Araliaceae
Description: long non-coding RNA (PGIN_LNC006312)
Source: RNAcentral
UUGAUCCUUAUCCUCUCUAAACCCUCGUCUGUUUCUCUUCAUCUCUAAAUCCUUCUCCAUUUUCUUAUUUCCUCUCAAAUUUUCUGAAACUAUGAGAACUCGUAUUGGUAAACGUCCUUUUGUAUCCGAAGAUGAAGAUCACUCCUUCUAAUCUCCUUCGUCCAAGCCAACUGCAGGAGCAAAGAGGAAAUUUAAAGGAAUCAAGAAGGAUGCGUCUGUAUGAUCGUCCUCUGACCACUCGAUGUCCUCCAAUGAGUCAAACACUAGUUCUUCUUUCUUGCAAUUGUCUGAACCAUCUCGACCAAGGAAAUCAAAGCAACAAAAGGUUUCAGAAAACCCUCCUCCACAUUAGUCGGAUUCUCCACCUCCUAUGGUAAAUUCUUUCAUCCCUGUUCUAGGAGAAAUUGAUUUUUUUUUCGUGGUCAUCAUUUUGAGGCUCAAUUUUAAACUUCUAUAGUUCAUAAAUAAUUUGUAUAUGAAAAAUCUGUCGACACAUUUUACUAUCAAGAGUCUCAUUUGAAACAUCUUUUUGAAUCAUGUGGCAUAUCCUCUAUGGUUUCCCCUCCGUCCAAAGCAUAUCCUAGACUAGUCCAACAAUUUUAUACAAAUCUGGAAAACAAUGGUGAUUCUUACACCUCGUUUGUUAAGGGAAAAACUUUGUUCUUCACUGUUGUGGAUUUUGGUAGUAUUUUAAGUAUUCCAUCUUCUGGUGUUUGUCUUUUACACUUAAAGGGUGCUGUAAAUACUCCUUUUUUCUGCUCUUGAACAACUUCAAAUUGUGAUGGAUAACAAUAAUUUUCUUGAUCUGGUUACACCAAAAACUGUCGAUGUUUCCCCCACUGCACGUGUCUUUAACAAAUUGGUAUGAUAUAAUUUGGUGCCCCGAAUAGGUGGAACCGUGGAGGCACAGAUUUUACGUAUCAUGAUUUGGUACUUGUAGCUAUGAUUCUUAAAGGAUUAUUGUUUAACUUUUCUCUUAUGAUGUUACAACACAUGCUCAGUUGUCUGCGUCAAGCUAAAAAAUGUCUACCCUAUAGUGGCUUUUUAACAAAAUUGUUUCAACACUUUAACAUUUCUUUUGAAAAUGAAAUCUCAGUGCCUGUUAAUGAGUCUAUUGAUUCUGGAAAUUUGAAAUUAUCUCAUCUGACUCUUGUUGAUGGUAAGUUUGUCCGUAUUGUUCAUGAUCCUCCUCCUCCUCCUAUUUAACCUGUCAACAAUCUGUCUUCCUCCACUCUGCCAAACACCACUCCUUCUCCUGAAAUUAUUGGGUUACUGAAUACCAUCUUAAAAAAUCAACAGUCUUUGGAAACUGAUUUAUCUGAUAUAAAGAUUUGGCUUACUUUUUUGGUAAAGGGGAAAUUUCCUUUGGGUGCUGAUGAGGUAAAUAAGUUGUAUAACAGUGUUGAGGAUGAAUUUAUAGAUCUCCAAGUAGGUUUUGAGUUGCACACUACAAUAAUGGUUGUGGGUAUGCAACGUAAAAUGAUUAAAAAUUCGUGUCAAUUAAGCCAAAAGAUCAAAUUUGUUAGCAAUUAAGUUGGAGAACUAGCAAAAUUUUCUUCUAGCAGAAUGAAUGAUGUGUGUUGGGUCAAUUCUAAUUACGCACAACACGCAAGUAUACGUGGUCAACAAGUAAUAAAGUGAAAGUAGAGUAUCAUUCUCACGAGGAAUUGUUUAAUAAAAAUCACCAAGUACUAACCCGUAACCAACUCAAUCUUAUUUAAACGAAUGAAUUUCAAAUUAUAUAAUUAAACUACUAUUAAAUUUCACUAGUUAAAUUAAGAUUACGGAGAUUUAAGAUCACAAUUUCACUUAUUGCUUCAUUUAAGUUAACACACUUCUCAUCAAUUAUUCUCUAUCAUGAAUUGUUAAUCAAGAACACUAAAGCAGAUAAAACCACCUCUCGAUGUAUAAUACCCAUACUCACUUAAAUUCACAGAUGAUAUAAUUAAGCGAGACACCUUAAUUAACUAAUCUACUAUAUCUCUUUGUGAAUUACAAUUAAAAAGGAUUGAAAGCACAAGUUCUCUAUAAGAUUACAUGCGAUGUUAGGUAUAUCUCUAUCAUAAAUUAUGUAUUCCAACGACAUGAAGAAAUCACAAUCACAUGCUAUUAUGAUUAGAUCUAAAUCAAUACUUCAUCUCUCGAGUUCAUAUAGAUUAUCAUGGUAAUUGAUGGCCAGUCAAUUAAACAAUUAAGUCCAAAUUAAAAUAGACAAUCCUUACAAUAAAAUAUAAAUACACUACAAGAAAUCACACAUUUUAUGAUGAAUUUUUUGCCACGCACAAAAUUUUGUCAUAAUUUGUUAAUUAAUAAUUACGAAAUUCAUAAUCGUCACUAAAACUUUUGCUUUUGUGACCUUUAAUUUUGUUAUUAUUAAUCAUUUAUAUCAUCACUCAUUUACACAUUUGAUGACGAUUAACAAAAUUUCGUCACAAGUUAUUUUGGAGGUAGAAUUUUCGUACCAAACUUUUGGAGGGAAACUUUUUAGUGACAUUUUGUAAUAAUUGAUGACAGUAUUUAUUGUCACAAUAUUUCUUUUGAUGACAACAUAAUAAUUUGUCAUUAUUUGUAAAAUUUAGUGACAGUGUGCUUUUGUCACUAAUGUUCACAUUUAGUGACGUCAAAUACAAAUUCAUCACAAUUUUAUUUGGAGGUAAAAAAAAAUUAAAAAUUUUGGAGGGAAAUUUUUUAAAGACGGAAAAAUAAUAAUUUAUGACAAUUUGAAUUGUUAUAAAUACUAAUUUUAUAUGACGAGAUAAUAGUUUGUCACUAAUUAGAUGAGUGGAUAAGUGAUAAAAAUAGUUUGUCAUAAAUUCUAAUAUUUAGUGACAAAGUACGUAAUAUCGUCACAAUUUUGUUUGGACGUAAAAUUUUUCUGAAAAUUUUUGGAGGGAAAUUUUUUAAAGACGAAUAAUAAUACUUUAUGACGACAAUUUGUAUUGUCAUAAAUACCAAUUUUAUAUGACGAGACAAUUUGGACAAGUGAAUGUUUUUUGAAUUUAUUUAGAGAAAAAUUCCUUUGCGGAGUAUUUAUUCUACGAGGGAGUAUUUGAAACCAAUCUCAUCGUCCUUCAAUGGGGAUUAUGCAGUUACUGAGGCAAUAUAUAUCAGUCUCUGCACGUUUUGUGAUCUAAGGCAAAUAUCUGUAAAAAUAUUUCUUACCCCGACAAUGGUUGCUUCAAUUGUCAUCCACUAGUAUUACUAGCAGAAUGUUUAAAAAAGUGGGUUGGCCUUCGUUGAUUUUGGAGACUUGGGGGUAUAAUCGUCUGAUUUGUUUGUUUAGCUUGUUCACUAGUAUUCUUAAUUAUUUAGCAAUAUUAAUUGUAUUAAUUAAAAUAUUAAGUUACAAUAAUUUAAAUUUUAAAAUAUUGUAAAUUGACAAUAAAGAAAUUUUUAAUAAUUAUGACUCUUUUUGUGGAUUAAAUUACAUAUGUUAAAAUAUUAUUUUUUUAUUUUAAAAAAGAAUUAUAAUUUAGUUUGAUAUAAUUAAUUUAUGAUAUCCUUUAAUAAAUUUAGAUUUACAUUUAAAUUUUUGAAAUAAUAAUUUUACAUAUAAUAUUACUUCUAAAAGAGUUUAUUUUUAAGUGUUUUCAAACUCCUUUAUUGGAACAGAUCUACUACUCCAUUGUUUGUGUGCGUGGUCUGGAUACAGAGAUUUGGCCUUCACCUCUCUACAGCCACAUGGUUGAUUUCAUAUUGUGGGAGUGUUUUCAGUAAAACAUUAUCAAGCAAUUUUUUUUUCUACUAAUAGGUUGGCUUUGUGAUACCCCCAAAUUCGAAUCCGAGCACCUUUAAAUUCCGGAUCUGGUGUUUCACGGUACUAACUCUAACAUACAUCUAAUCAUGCAUUCAUACUAAUAAGAAAGUAAUUACUAACUAUUAGAAGUCUAUUAUUACAUAUCUAGGUUUUAUAACCUUUAAAUCUUCUAAAUCAUGAUAAUUAAAGUAGAAGUUGCUCAUGCUAGAUAACAUGCUUUCAAGUUUUCUCUAUAACAUGCAGUCAAUCAAUGUUUUUUUUUUGAACUUUUUAUAUGGACAUGACUUUGAUGAAUUUGGUUUUAUUGGUUUAUUUAUUUUAUUUUAUUGUUCGAAGUUGACUGUUUGGUGAAUAUGAACAUAAGAUCAUUAGUUGUUUGAUUGUAUUUGACUAAUAAUAUCAUUGUUCCAUAUUUAUGGGCCUAAAAAGAUAGCAUAAGUUUUUUAGUAAUGUUAUAGCUAUAGUUAUGGAAAAUUCACAAUUUAUUAUUUAAACAUUUCUUUCCUUAUAUACAUUUCUUUUUUAAUUUCAUAACUAUUUGACUGAUUUAUGUCUAUAUGUUUUUUUUUGAUUUGCAGAUCGAGUUUUUUCUGGAAGGUCAAUAACCACAAGGUUGAAGGUUUUAAUUAAGCAUUUUCUUAGGAUAUGGAUUUUAGAAUUUUAGCUUUUUGGAUUAUAUAAUUUGGUUUUGUGGUACUUAGAUUAUUUAAGCAACUGUUUAUUGCCUAGCUAGUUGGGUAUUUUGUUGAAUCAGUG